RNAcentral lists this ribosomal RNA (466 nucleotides) under uncultured bacterium. RNAcentral's name for it is "partial 16S ribosomal RNA". It matches the Rfam family "Bacterial small subunit ribosomal RNA", at positions 28 to 507 of the family's 1533-position model. The record is from RNAcentral.
GAUGAACGCUGGCGGCGUGCUUAACACAUGCAAGUCGAACGGAAAGGCCCAAGCUUGCUUGGGUACUCGAGUGGCGAACGGGUGAGUAACACGUGGGUGAUCUGCCCUGCACUUCAGGAUAAGCCUGGGAAACUGGGUCUAAUACCGGAUAGGACCACAUUUUGGAUGGUGUGGUGGAAAGUUUUUCGGUGUGGGAUGAGCUCGCGGCCUAUCAGCUUGUUGGUGGGGUAAUGGCCUACCAAGGCGUCGACGGGUAGCCGGCCUGAGAGGGUGUACGGCCACAUUGGGACUGAGAUACGGCCCAGACUCCUACGGGAGGCAGCAGUGGGGAAUAUUGCACAAUGGGCGCAAGCCUGAUGCAGCGACGCCGCGUGGGGGAUGACGGCCUUCGGGUUGUAAACUCCUUUCGCUAGGGACGAAGCGUUAUGUGACGGUACCUGGAGAAGAAGCACCGGCUAACUACGUG